CUCAACGGUGGAACGGCCAUUGAUACUGCUAGACUUGAAUUAUUAGGAAGUAACUAGAAUAUGUAGUGUAGCGGUGAAAUGCUUAGAGAUUACAUGGAAUACCAAUUGCGAAGGCAGGUUACUACUAAUUGAUUGACGCUGAUGGACGAAAGCGUGGGUAGCGAACAGGAUUAGAUACCCUGGUAGUCCACGCCGUAAACGAUGGAUACUAGCUGUUGGAAGCAAUUUCAGUGGCUAAGCGAAAGUGAUAAGUAUCCCACCUGGGGAGUACGAACGCAAGUUUGAAACUCAAAGGAAUUGACGGGGGCCCGCACAAGCGGUGGAGCAUGUGGUUUAAUUCGAUGAUACGCGAGGAACCUUACCAAGGCUUAAAUGUAGAUUGACCGGUUUGGAAACAGACUUUUCGCAAGACAAUUUACAAGGUGCUGCAUGGUUGUCGUCAGCUCGUGCCGUGAGGUGUCAGGUUAAGUCCUAUAACGAGCGCAACCCCUGUUGUUAGUUGCCAGCGAGUCAUGUCGGGAACUCUAACAAGACUACCAGUGUAAACUGUGAGGAAGGUGGGGAUGACGUCAAAUCAUCACGGCCCUUACGCCUUGGGCUACACACGUGCUACAAUGGACGGUACAGAGAGCAGCCACUGGGCAACCAGGAGCGAAUCUACAAAACCGUUCUCAGUUCGGAUCGGAGUCUGCAU
RNAcentral lists this ribosomal RNA (694 nucleotides) under uncultured bacterium. Its description in RNAcentral is "bacterial SSU rRNA". It matches the Rfam family "Bacterial small subunit ribosomal RNA", at positions 608 to 1310 of the family's 1533-position model. The record is from RNAcentral.